UAGCUAGUUGGUGAGGUAACGGCUUACCAAGGCGACGAUCUGUAGCGGGUCUGAGAGGAUGAUCCGCCACACUGGAACUGAGACACGGUCCAGACUCCUACGGGAGGCAGCAGUGGGGAAUUUUGGACAGUGGGGGCAACCCUGAUCCAGCCAUGCCGCGUGAGUGAAGAAGGCCUUCGGGUUGUAAAGCUCUUUCGGCCGGGAAGAAAUCGCAUGGGCCAAUACCCUGUGUGGAUGACGGUACCGGAAUAAGAAGCACCGGCUAACUACGUGCCAGCAGCCGCGGUAAUACGUAGGGUGCGAGCGUUAAUCGGAAUUACUGGGCGUAAAGCGUGCGCAGGCGGUUUUGUAAGACAGGCGUGAAAUCCCCGGGCUCAACCUGGGAACUGCGUUUGUGACUGCAAGGCUAGAGUACGGCAGAGGGGGGUGGAAUUCCACGUGUAGCAGUGAAAUGCGUAGAGAUGUGGAGGAACACCAAUGGCGAAGGCAGCCCCCUGGGUCGAUACUGACGCUCAUGCACGAAAGCGCGGGUAGCAAACAGGAUUAGAUACCCUGGUAGUCCACGCCCUAAACUAUGUCAACUAGGUGUUGGGUGGGUAAAACCAUUUAGUACCGUAGCUAACGCGUGAAGUUGACCGCCUGGGGAGUACGGCCGCAAGGUUAAAACUCAAAGGAAUUGACGGGGACCCGCACAAGCGGUGGGUGAUGUGGAUUAAUUCGAUGCAACGCGAAAAACCUUACCUACCCUUGACAUGCCAGGAACUUGCCAGAGAUGGCUUGGUGCCCGAAAGGGAGCCUGGACACAGGUGCUGCAUGGCUGUCGUCAGCUCGUGUCGUGAGAUGUUGGGUUAAGUCCCGCAACGAGCGCAACCCUUGUCGUUAAUUGCCAUCAUUUAGUUGGGCACUUUAGCGAGACUGCCGGUGACAAACCGGAGGAAGGUGGGGAUGACGUCAAGUCCUCAUGGCCCUUAUGGGUAGGGCUUCACACGUCAUACAAUGGUCGGUACAAAGGGUCGCCAAGCCGCGAGGUGGAGCCAAUCCCAGAAAGCCGAUCGUAGUCCGGAUUGCAGGCUGCAACUCGCCUGCAUGAAGUCGGAAUCGCUAGUAAUCGUGGAUCAGCAUGUCACGGUGAAUACGUUCCCGGGUCUUGUACACACCGCCCGUCACGCCAUGGGAGCGGGUUCCGCCAGAAGUAGGUAGCCUAACCGCAAGGAGGGCGCUUACCACGGCGGGGUUCGUGACUGGGGUGAAGUCGAAACAAGGUAGCCGUAGGGGAACCU
Molecule: ribosomal RNA, 1280 nt
Filed under: metagenome
Description: bacterial SSU rRNA
Rfam family: Bacterial small subunit ribosomal RNA
Source: RNAcentral